GACGAACGCUGGCGGCGUGCUUAACACAUGCAAGUCGAACGGAAAGGCCCUGCUUGCAAGGUACUCGAGUGGCGAACGGGUGAGUAACACGUGGGUGAUCUGCCCUGCACUUCGGGAUAAGCCUGGGAAACUGGGUCUAAUACCGGAUAUGACCUUCCAUGUAGUGUGGGGGGUGGAAAGAUUUAUCGGUGUGGGAUGAGCCCGCGGCCUAUCAGCUUGUUGGUGGGGUAAUGGCCUACCAAGGCGUCGACGGGUAGCCGGCCUGAGAGGGUGGACGGCCACAUUGGGACUGAGAUACGGCCCAGACUCCUACGGGAGGCAGCAGUGGGGAAUAUUGCACAAUGGGCGGAAGCCUGAUGCAGCGACGCCGCGUGGGGGAUGACGGCCUUCGGGUUGUAAACCUCUUUCGACAGGGACGAAGCUUCGGUGACGGUACCUGUAUAAGAAGCACCGGCUAACUACGUG
Molecule: ribosomal RNA, 465 nt
Filed under: uncultured bacterium
Lineage: Bacteria
Description: partial 16S ribosomal RNA
Rfam family: Bacterial small subunit ribosomal RNA
Source: RNAcentral